This 515-nucleotide ribosomal RNA is filed under the name uncultured bacterium. Its description in RNAcentral is "partial 16S ribosomal RNA". It matches the Rfam family "Bacterial small subunit ribosomal RNA", at positions 28 to 523 of the family's 1533-position model. The record is from RNAcentral.
GAUGAACGCUGGCGGCGUGCCUAAUACAUGCAAGUCGAGCGAAUGGAUUAAGAGCUUGCUCUUAUGAAGUUAGCGGCGGACGGGUGAGUAACACGUGGGUAACCUGCCCAUAAGACUGGGAUAACUCCGGGAAACCGGGGCUAAUACCGGAUAACAUUUUGAACCGCAUGGUUCGAAAUUGAAAGGCGGCUUCGGCUGUCACUUAUAGAUGGACCCGCGUCGCAUUAGCUAGUUGGUGAGGUAACGGCUCACCAAGGCAACGAUGCGUAGCCGACCUGAGAGGGUGAUCGGCCACACUGGGACUGAGACCCGGCCCAGACUCCUACGGGAGGCAGCAGUAGGGAAUCUUCCGCAAUGGACGAAAGUCUGACGGAGCGACGCCGCGUGAGUGAUGAAGGCUUUCGGGUCGUAAAACUCUGUUGUUAGGGAAGAACAAGUGCUAGUUGAAUAAGCUGGCACCUUGACGGUACCUAACCAGAAAGCCACGGCUAACUACGUGCCAGCCGCCGCGGUAA